UCAGGUGGGUGUGGAAAUAGGUCACAUUCACUGGUGGAGUGGGGGAGAGGUUUUCAUGGACUUCAGCCCACCUUAAAUUCUCUUAGAAAACUUAAAUUCUUGAUUUGUUACAGGGAAAAUAUCAACAUUUUAAUCAAGUACGCCAGCUUGUUAGCAAGUGCACUUAAUAUUUGGAGUAUUGUUAUGGACACGGCAAAGUUACCUCAAGAGAGUUGGUCAGAGAGCUCUUCAGCAGCAGGAGAAAUCUAAAGAGAUGUUUCCAGUCAAGUUAUUGCCCAGCAACAGUGUGCGUGUGACAAGAACUAUUGCUGGUACGCUAACAUUUACUGAACUAAGUUCACAAGGCACCUGUGUCGGUGACGUGCUCUUUUUUUUAACCCUUAGUUGUUGACCUGACAGCAUACGUGAGGGCCUUGGAUAGACAUCAAACAAAGCAACUAUGUAGGGUGCAACUCUGGAAUAUUUAUCGAUCAAAUGCUACAUAGCUUCUGCACACUUACACUACACAGGUAUCAAAUAGGGGUCCAUGCCUAUGUUCCCACAGCCUUAUGUUCCCAUGGUCCUAUAAUCCCACAUUUGAGUUUUAUUACAUGGUGCAUGUUCUGCUGCGACGACACCUCCAUGAAAAUACGUAUAAAAAGAUGUCUAUGGGUGUGACGUCAUGUGUACAAAAUGGUUAAUGUACGGAGGUGGAAACAAUUAUCCUUGUAAAGGAUGAUAAAAUCUAAAAUAUAAUCUAAAAAAGGAAAUGUGGGAACAUGGGGCCUAAUUUUGUAAACAAAUCUCAGAAUGUGGGAACAUAAGGCCGUGGGAACAUAGGAAUGACCCCCAAAUGGGAAGGCAAUUAGAGCAUAAACCAGAACAAGGGUAUAUCAUAAGAGCAGGUUCAGUAUUUGUUCCCAGGAUACCAGGUUUCUCUUACCAAACACCCAUAAUCCCAUUUUUGUAUGUGACGGUGAAAGUGUUAUCUUCUAUAUGUCGAGUGUGAGGAAGCAAAUCUAACAAGAAUAAACUAUUCAGUUGUAAGUAACUAAGGUAAAUAUAAAGAGAUUUCAGCUAAAAUAGUUCCUAAACCUGUUCCUUGUCUUUAUCAUUACAGUUCAGCUAAGGUUCUUUACCUUUAAUGCCCUUUGGUUCUUUUUUAGUGAGGUGCAAAUGAAAAACGUCAAUUGUUGACUCUGUCAGAAGGUGUUUUUGUGUGAUAUCUGGGCUGCCUAGUGAGGAUCUCUGUCAUGUGCUUAAAUAUUCAUGAGAUCACUUCAUCAUUAACGAGAUGCUUUGAUGGAAAGUUCCACACUGGAGUCACAGAUAUUUGGCAUGAGUCAGAAAACAGACAGAUGAGGACACAAUGGACAGUAGAUUGAGAGAGUUUAAGUGAUACAGUAAAAUAAGAAGAGCUUAUUUCUGUUCAGGUUAGAGCACUCUUUAUCUCCUCAACAUGCUUCAUGUGUGUGUUUGUUUGUCUCCGUCUAUUAUUAACUGUGUGUGGUGAUAAAAUCCCACUCAUAGUGUUCAUGCUCACAGUUAAAAAAGGAUCCAGAAAGCAGAGUUUUGUGACCUACUUCUUAAAACCUGUUCUGAUUUAUUUUUCAUUAAAGAAACCACGAUACUUGUCUCAAUCAAAUUUCCAGUUUCUGAGUUUUGGAUCUAAUUUGAAUCUUUUAUUUGGCUAAAAGUUAGCACGCAACCCAUGAGUGGAAUAUGCAGCACAACAGAUUCGGUUGCUUUGACUGUCCAGAUGAGCAAACACAGAGGAGCAGAGCUAGAAUGAAAUUUAAUUGUCUGUCAUUUGAUGUUGAGUCUGUUAUUUUUCCUGGCCCAGGGAAAUAAGAGGAAGGCCAAAUGUCUUCUUGAAAAUGAGAUAAUGGUUUCAGUGACAAGCACAAAAUGUGUUAGCCUUAAAAAUAGGUUAUGUCCCUCCACAUCCUGACCACUAAGUUAUCCUGAAGCUAAGUCCAUAAAAGACAAAUAGAGCGCCGAAUCAUCUGAGACAAGUUAGUCAGGCUGUGGUUGUACUUAGAAUUAAUGAUUGAACAGUGAGAGUACCUGUGUACGCAGGGUGUUCUGGGGAUAGAGAGCAUGACUUUCAGAUUAAUCAAUCAGGAUAAAAUGAAAAAAAUAAAAAAAGUUAAAAGAAACAAAAACAAGCUGAGACACAGAGUCCUAACUGUACAGAACAGUUUCAACCUGAAGCACUGACCCGACACAUGAACAUGUCUGUGGUGGUUAAACUAUAGACUUGACAAACAAAUGAGGACAAAACUGUUUCUCAUCAGAGUCAGUCAUAGGUUAUGUAAGAGUGGUGUUAUGGAGGUUCAAUUCUCAAGUAUUCAUGUCUAACCUUUUAACCUAAAGCUCAGUUAUGGUGACAUAACACUCAGUAUUCUUAGGCUAUGUUCACACUGCAGGUCAAUUAUGAUUUUUUUAACCAUAUGUGACACAUAUCAGAUUUUUUCAUGUAAGUGUGAACAGUGCAAUUCAGAUUUUUUCAAAUGCGACCCAGGCCUCUUUUGUAUACGGAUAUAAAUUGGAUAUGUAUGCGAUGUGACUGCAGUGUGGACGCUCAGGUCAUGUUCAUCCGACCUAUACGUCAUCAAUUUGCGACAAACGUCACCAUUGUUCGACAACACAAACAGGCGCGGAAAGCAAUUUGUGCUUUGUGCGCAUGCGGGUCACUUCACGGACGCAUUCUGUUCACAUUAGAUGCUGCAUUCUGAAUUGAAUUGUGCAUCAUAAUCUGCAGUAUGAACAUAGACCUUCAAGAGUGAAGAGCCCAAACAGAUGCCCACCAGUAUAAAGUCUACGAAGAUGGCGGCCCAAAAAGGCUAUCAUCAGUUUGCCCACAAGUAUCACUGAUUUAUACGCAUAAUUCACCGAAACAAGGUCACUGUGAUAAUGGAAGAGGACAUUUCAGGCAGCCUGAUUCCUUCACAGCAAAAUAGGAAAUGUUGUGGAAACUCAUAGUCACAGAAAAUGUUUUCUCUGUUAGAAAUUAGACCCGCAUAAACAGACAGACAUUAGUUUCUCUUUCUUACUGGAUGUUAGACAGAGCAACAUAUCUCAGAGACAACUUUUUCAUCUUGGAUGAAGCAGGAAAAACCCCUGAAACGCUUAAAAAUAAAAAGCCUUGAUCAGCCCAAACUGGCUGUUAAAUAAAGAAAUAUCAAAAACAUGCAGAUCUUAUUAAAAGCAAAGAUACAACCCAUUUAUCGUGGCACAACAGUUGUCUUCAGGACACUGGAAAAACCCUGAAGACAGAUUUUUUUCUCUUUGGAAAAAUAGUUUAAAAAAUACAGUCUGCAGGAUCCUGAUGGUUUACGGUCUAACUGCCUCAAAUGCGGCAACCCAAGUCCAAUUUCAACCUG
Xyrichtys novacula (pearly razorfish) is the source of this 3365-nucleotide non-coding RNA. The record is from the annotation of a GenBank genome assembly. NCBI's taxonomy places the organism in Eukaryota, Metazoa, Chordata, Actinopteri, Labriformes, Labridae.